CGAGAAGCAGAUAUUGUUUUGACUGUAUCGAGAUUCAUGUUGUGGUGGCAGAAUCCCAACUUUUCCACAGCUGCUGCUGACAGCUUCAGCAAGACAUACCCACUAGCAAAUGGCGUCUUUCCAAGAAGUUCCACUGAUCCAGGUGACAAGCUGGAGCAUGCUGAGAGCAAAGGCAGACAACUCAGCAGAGAAGGAAUGCAAGAAGGAGACGUAGUGGCUGUGUGUGCAUGUGAGACGCAGGGAAGCAACUUUAGGGAGCAGCUAGGGAGCCUCCAUGGCUGCAUCCAGAUGUCGCUUACUUAUUCCUCUAAAUUUGGAUAUUCUGGAAUAAAGCAUGGAUAUUCCAGAAUAUAGCAUCUCUAUCAAUGUGCAAAUCCCUUUUUAAUUUAACACACCCCUUCAUGAAUCAAUGCAUGUUAGAGAUUGGAAGGCAAUUGCUUCUUCUCAAGCAGAGUUAUAGCCCAACGUCUUAGGCUGUUUCUGCACUCCCUACCUCCACCACCCCAGUGGAAUAGGCAACCCAUCCCAAGCUGGGACAUACUGCUUCUGGCAAAGAAUCAAACUGUCCACAUUGGGAUGUACUGUUCUGUUCCAGCACCAACUCCAAGGCUCAUGUCAGCUCUGGAUCUGGCAUGGGACGAGGAGCUCCAAAUGCUCCAAAGGUCAGGAAAGAGAGAUUCUGGCCUUUGGAGUACCCGAGGUCCCCAUUUUGGUAGUAUGUCUUGUUGUGCCACUGACAUAGGUUUCCAUAGUAUACCAGACCAUGGAGGUAUGCUGUCUGUACAUCUCUGUGGUCCAGUGUANNACUCCCUAGUAUGCUGGUAGACCAUGACAUUCAAGUCUACAGGUAGUCCGGAUGAGAGCAGAGUGUACUAAGAUGGGGCAAGCUUCCCUUAAACUCCACCAAUGAGUGGAAGGGAAAGCCCAUAGACCCUUUCUUUUUUCACAUUUAUGUCAAGUGCGGAGAAGCANUUAGGUUCUGAUCAACCACCAGAAUGGCAACAGUAUCUUUAAGGAUGAUGUUAGAAAGGAGCAGUGGAGCAAUAAAACAAAUCUGCUAUUUAAAAUGGAGAUGAAG
Molecule: long non-coding RNA, 1078 nt
Filed under: Salvator merianae (Argentine black and white tegu)
Lineage: Eukaryota; Metazoa; Chordata; Lepidosauria; Squamata; Teiidae
Description: lncRNA (ENSSMRG00000022694.1)
Source: RNAcentral